UCAUUUCAGUAGCUAUGGCGUCAUUCGC
RNAcentral lists this non-coding RNA (28 nucleotides) under Bombyx mori (domestic silkworm). The record is from RNAcentral. Lineage: Eukaryota; Metazoa; Arthropoda; Insecta; Lepidoptera; Bombycidae.